Molecule: unclassified non-coding RNA, 204 nt
Filed under: Hevea brasiliensis (rubber tree)
Lineage: Eukaryota; Viridiplantae; Streptophyta; Magnoliopsida; Malpighiales; Euphorbiaceae
Source: RNAcentral
CUGCCAUCAAGUUGAUUGAACUUUAUGCUGUGUUCCAAAACUCCAACCGACCGUGACCGCUGAGCGAAGUAUCCAUGAUUUGGAUCAUACAAUGCGGAAUGUAUGAAAUCGCGAACAAGAAUCGGCUCCUCACCCACAAUGAGAGUAGAAAAAAAGCGAUCGAGAUAGAAGAGAGCACGAUUGUUGACAUGAAAUCACUCUCGG